AUUGAACGCUGGCGGCAUGCCUUACACAUGCAAGUCGAACGGUAACAGGUCUUCGGAUGCUGACGAGUGGCGAACGGGUGAGUAAUACAUCGGAACGUGCCUAGUAGUGGGGGACAACUACUCGAAAGAGUGGCUAAUAACGCAUGAGACCGAGGGAUGAAAGCAGGGCAACGCAGGCACUUGUGCUACUAGAGCGGCCGGUGGCAGAUGAGGGUGUUGGUGGGAUAAAAGCUUACCAAGCCGACGAUCUGUAGCUGAUCUGAGAGGACGAUCAGCCAAACUGGGACUGAGACACGGCCCAGACUCCUACGGGAGGCAGCAGUGGGGAAUUUUGGACAAUGGGCGCAAGCCUGAUCCAGCAAAGCCGCGUGCAGGAUGAAGGCCUUCGGGUUGUAAACUGCUUUUGUACGGAACGAAAAGCCCCGGGUUAAUACCCUGGGGUCAUGACGGUACCGUAAGAACAAGCACCGGCUAACUACGUGCCAGCCGCCGCCGUAA
RNAcentral lists this ribosomal RNA (498 nucleotides) under uncultured bacterium. RNAcentral describes it as "partial 16S ribosomal RNA". It matches the Rfam family "Bacterial small subunit ribosomal RNA", at positions 30 to 523 of the family's 1533-position model. The record is from RNAcentral.